RNAcentral lists this unclassified non-coding RNA (776 nucleotides) under Hevea brasiliensis (rubber tree). Lineage: Eukaryota; Viridiplantae; Streptophyta; Magnoliopsida; Malpighiales; Euphorbiaceae. The record is from RNAcentral.
UGGACCGUGGUUCUAUUAACAAAGUGAUGCUGUUAGAGAAUUCAAUUGCCAGGGCUCACUCAAACCAAUUUGGAAGCAAACAGUUGAUGCAUGCUUCAGCUUUACCAAUACUGUCUCAAUCUGUACAUAUCCUACAUAUUCUAGUAUCUUUUAUAGGCCUCUUUGAGAAUCAAUCAAACCUAUUAACUUCAGCAAAUAAAAACUGAGCCAACAAAACAACUGGCAUCAACAGAUUAUAAGUAGAAGAAUGCUAAAUUGUAAAGAAAAGGUUUUCCACCUCGAGAAAAAGGUAGGAUACAAUGUCUACAACCCAUUCUAACAAAUGAUCCCAGCCAAGUGAUGACUUAAGCCAAGCAAAUAGUCAUUGGUGGAGAUGAAUUGGUACAGAGGUGAAAGCACCAACAGAGGGCGGAAAAAAGAAUGCUCAAAAGCAAGCCAACUUUGUUUGAAAUGACCAAAAUCUUUGUCACCGAGGAACUGCAAAAUCUUGAGAAAGCCAGGCUCCAGCAAGAGGAAUCAACAGCAAUGCUGGAUUUGAGCCGAGCAUUGGCAAUAGCACUGUGAAGCGGCAUAAACGACUCCAAACUCCCAAAAACCGAUAGAACCCUUGAAGGAUUGGAGACAACUCGUGUUGAUGGCGAAGAGAAAGGAGAGGAAAUAGAUUUUGCCCUUAGGGUUUUCUGGGAUAGGUUUCUGGACCGAGACGCCAUGGACCUUGUGCCUGCCACUAUAGCUGAUCUACAAAACGAGGCCAUUUUCUGUGCCCAGAGGACAAG